RNAcentral lists this ribosomal RNA (164 nucleotides) under uncultured Paracoccaceae bacterium. Its description in RNAcentral is "uncultured Rhodobacteraceae bacterium partial 16S ribosomal RNA". It matches the Rfam family "Bacterial small subunit ribosomal RNA", at positions 347 to 529 of the family's 1533-position model. Lineage: Bacteria; Pseudomonadati; Pseudomonadota; Alphaproteobacteria; Rhodobacterales; Paracoccaceae. The record is from RNAcentral.
GGUUAUCUGGGGAAUCUUAGACAAUGGGCGCAAGCCUGAUCUAGCCAUGCCGCGUGAGUGAUGAAGGCCUUAGGGUCGUAAAGCUCUUUCACCAGGGAUGAUAAUGACAGUACCUGGAAAAGAAACCCCGGCUAACUCCGUGCCAGCAGCCGCGGUAAUACCCU